UACGUAUGGAGCAAGCGUUAUCCGGAUUUACUGGGUGUAAAGGGUGCGUAGGUGGCAGUGCAAGUCAGAUGUGAAAGGCCGGGGCUCAACCCCGGAGCUGCAUUUGAAACUGCUCGGCUAGAGUACAGGAGAGGCAGGCGGAAUUCCUAGUGUAGCGGUGAAAUGCGUAGAUAUUAGGAGGAACACCAGUGGCGAAGGCGGACUGCUGGACUGUUACUGACACUGAGGCACGAAAGCGUGGGGAGCAAACAGG
RNAcentral lists this ribosomal RNA (253 nucleotides) under Anaerobutyricum hallii. RNAcentral's name for it is "partial 16S ribosomal RNA". It matches the Rfam family "Bacterial small subunit ribosomal RNA", at positions 524 to 776 of the family's 1533-position model. The record is from RNAcentral. Lineage: Bacteria; Bacillati; Bacillota; Clostridia; Lachnospirales; Lachnospiraceae.